RNAcentral lists this ribosomal RNA (504 nucleotides) under Elimia comma. RNAcentral's name for it is "partial large subunit ribosomal RNA". It matches the Rfam family "Bacterial large subunit ribosomal RNA", at positions 1817 to 2597 of the family's 2925-position model. The record is from RNAcentral. Lineage: Eukaryota; Metazoa; Mollusca; Gastropoda; Pleuroceridae.
GGCUCUUUGUGUUUAUUUUUAUAAAGAGUCAGGCCUGCCCAGUGAGAUAUUUAACGGCCGCGGUACUCUGACCGUGCAAAGGUAGCAUAAUCAUUUGCCUUAUAAUUGAAGGCUAGUAUGAAUGGUUUGACGAAAGCAAUACUGUCUCCUUUCUAUUUUCAAGAAUUUAACCUUUAGGUGAAGAGGCCCAAAUUUAAUUGAAGGACAAGAAGACCCUGUCGAGCUUAAAAGAUAUUAUAGAAGUUUAUAUAUUUUUAGAUAAAUUUUCUGUUAAGCUUUUUAGUUGGGGCGACUAAGGAACAAAAAAAGCUUCUUAUAAUAAGCAAACAACCGGGUUUUGAUCCGAUAAUAAUCGAUUAAGGGAAUUAGUUACCGCAGGGAUAACAGCAUAAUCUCUCUUGAGAGACCUAAUCGAAAGAGGGGGUUGUGACCUCGAUGUUGGACUAGAAUAUCCUAAAGAUGCAGAAGUCUUUAAGGGUCGGUCUGUUCGACCGUUAAAAUUCU